GAUGAAGAACGCAGCGAAAUGUGAUACGUAAUGUGAAUUGCAGAAUUCAGUGAAUCAUCGAGUCUUUGAACGCACAUUGCGCCCCCUGGUAUUCCGGGGGGCAUGCCUGUCCGAGCGUCAUUGCUGCCCUCAAGCACGGCUUGUGUUUUGGGCCUCCGUCCUCCUCCCGGGGGACGGGCCCGAAAGGCAGCGGCGGCACCGCGUCCGGUCCUCGAGCGUAUGGGGCUUCGUCACCCGCUCUUGUAGGCCCGGCCGGCGCUUGCCGACACAUCAAUCUUUUUUCCAGGUUGACCUCGGAUCAGGUAGGGAUACCCGCUGAACUUAAGCAUAUCAAUAAGCGGAGGA
Molecule: unclassified non-coding RNA, 345 nt
Filed under: soil metagenome
Description: partial contains 5.8S ribosomal RNA, internal transcribed spacer 2, and large subunit ribosomal RNA
Rfam family: 5.8S ribosomal RNA (bases 1-120)
Source: RNAcentral